Long non-coding RNA from Amphiprion ocellaris (clown anemonefish), 3390 nucleotides. The record is from Ensembl. Lineage: Eukaryota; Metazoa; Chordata; Actinopteri; Pomacentridae.
UUUGAAGUCCAUCAAACAUUUAUUUGUGAAUUCUAUGACAAACAGGAGGCAGUUAUAAUAUCUUGGUUUACAAGCUACAUUGCUUGGAAAAAAGAAACCCCCCGACCCCUUUUAAAAAUCCACAUGGAUCAAAUUUUUCUCAUUUGACUUUGCUUGCUGUCAUUCAUUUGUUUUUCCAUUAGCUUCAAAAUGCACCUAUGUACAGAAGAAAUGCUCAAGUGUGGCGUAUAAAGGGAGAGAGCUACAUACUUCCACAGCGGACCGGUUCAGAUCCGCUGUUGACAUUCAGCUUUUCUCAAAUAAACAGAAGGACAGAGAGUACAAACCUUUUCCUUUUCUUUUCCAAUACAUGGGGACACAUUUCUUUACCAUGUACUCACUUUAUUUUGCUUUCAUUGCAUUCUCCUUUUAUUCGAGAAUCAAGCCGUUAUUACAAAAAAACAAGAGUAAGGUUAUAAAGCGAAUAUACAGGCAGUCUCUAGUUCAUCUAACAUUAUGAACAGCUAAGAAUUCAUGUACACGUUUUUUUUCCCAGCAUGUAAUAAUCAUAUGAAUGGUAUGGAAACAUGUUUAAAAAAAGUCAACAUGUCGCUUUGACAGGCUUGCACACGCACAGGGAACAGUAAGACUCAUGGUUUUGUGCCAUGCAACCUGUAAAAUCUGUCAUCGGCUGGUGAACAAACGGUUCUGUUAUCGGCUGAAAUGCCUCGUACUUGUAACCUGAGGGGGAGGAGCUAAUGUGACACCUGGCAGGCAGGUGGAAAGGCUGGAGAGGUGGAGACAACUGACCAGUGACAGCCGAGAGAAAUCUUUUAAAUUUUUUUUUCCAGAAAAUAGAACAUAGAAAAUAUGUCCACGUUGCAGUAAAUGACAGCAGAUGUGAGACGGAUUUCCAGCUCUGCUUUUCCACAUGUUGUGUUUGUUAUAAUAAAAAUCAAAUAUAUUGUCAAAAAUAGGACAAUAAAGUCGUUAUUACUGGAAAUAAACACAGCAGUUGCUUCACGUGUGCAAGUCAGUGAAAAAAUCAGUGUCUGGAUUUUUGUUCCAAGUCAAAAAAUACAGGCAGCUACUUGAGUUAGCAUAAAAAACAUUUAGCCAAAAUGUAAAAUUGGUCCAAAUUUUUACCCAUUUGGAGGUCUGGUCACAAAAACACUAAUUUCUAAGGCUGUACGCUCGACCUUGACACUGAGAUCCCUUACUGGUUUGCAACCUUUGUAGUGGAGGGACCUCUGAAGAUCUACUGCAAGAUGACAAAAUAAGACGUCUAAUCUGAAUUCCAGAUGCUUUUAAUCUGAUAUGUUGCAUGUACUGAGUUGAAACCAAAUAUUUGCAGAAAAAUAAAAGUCUUGAUCAAAUGGAGACAUCUUUGAAGAGAAAAAGGCACUAAAGUGACCUUCUCGUGAGACUAAAUGGUAGAGAAGCUUUAUUAUGUCAAAGAUACAUGACUAGUGUCCUGUGUUUUCUGAUGCCAGGUCUCAGAGCGUAGUAAAAAGUGUAAGAGGUAGAAAAGAAUCUGGUAAACUUUCACGUUUUCUUGCACGUCAGCAGGAACUUUGUAAGAAAAAACUCAGUGUUUAAAUACUUUCUGCACAGGAAUUGUGAAUAUUUUAACAGAAUGAUGCCAAAACUGGGGAUUCUGUUGUUUUCUUUUACGUUUGUGCCUUAUUUUAUUCAGAAUUUUCCAGUUUUAAAACAAAUAUAGCAGUUGUGAAUUAAGAUUAAUGGAUUAUUGUGACAGAUCUUGUAGCUCUGCAGUUCAUGUGAAAAGCAGAAGUGGUGCCAAGCCUAUUAUUAGCGCAUGAUAAAGGUUUCUUUGUGGUUUCAGAGUAUUUAUCUUCGUACGUAACAGGACAGACUGUGGGAGUCAUUAUUGGACUGUGGUCACUGCAGACAUGACUUCAGCCUCCCUGUGUUACUGUCUGCUGCUUCUCAGACGCUUUUCACUGCUGACUGUGAUUUUUGACAAAGACUGCUGCAGGCAUAAUGAAAAACAUAUUUGUUUUACCAUUUCUCUGAAGUGUCUAAACUAUCAUCAGUGUAGAUAUUUCUGAAAUGUUGCUGUAAAAAACUUAAGGAGUCGCAUUUUGGCAAAUCUAUAUUUCCUGGAAAUGACUGGAGAGGCAGCAAAGGAAUAGAUUAUGCUGCUGGAGUCUCAUUCGACUUUUUUCUGCUGUGAAAUUGCUGUAAAUCUAAGCAAACAACAGCUGUGUAGAAGAAACUACAGUGAUAUGCAUGGAUGAUGUUUAACUUCUGCAUUUUCAGUGGAGUUUUUCUUGAAAAUGUAGUAUUUUUCUAAGUAGGGAAGAGUAAAUUUAGACAUACAGGGCAUGAAACGAACCCGUAUCGCUUGUUAGAAAGCAAACUUUUCACUUCGUUAAACUGAGGUGAAUCUUAAGCUCAAGAAUGAACGUUUAUGUUCCUAAACCUUCUACCGACAGCACUGAAACUGUCUAUUUUAGCUGUUUUCCCCUUUCAAUUCAUGUUGGAUCCAGUUAAUUCUCCAGAUGUGGUUCGUAGAUGAAACUACAAAACUUUAAGCGACAGAAAUGUCACUGAAUGAGUAAAGAAAAGGGUGUGAACUGGGUUUCUGUGGUUUAACUCAUCAGAUCUUCAGGCUAUAACUACCUGUUGCGGUUCAAAAAUCAAACAGCCAGUAAAUAUCAAACCGGUCCAUCUAGAAGCUGGUUUCAUGUAGUUGGUUUUGGGCUGGAGUAAAGACAGACAGCAGCAUUUUAGUCUGUGGGUUUUCCUCAGCGUGUUAUUUAAACACACGCACUGUUACUGUAAUGCCCUAUUUUAAACUGCUGAGUCAUUAAAUGGAGCGCAGAGACCGAGAAACGCUGCUGGAAGAAGAAAUAGAAAUAGAUGGACGGACGCCUGGUUAAAGGGUAGAAAAACCCACAGCAGACUUUGCACAGAAGUAGCACCAUGACAACUAAACAGAAAGAAUAAAAACAGGCUAAUUUAUCAGCAAAAAAUCCAUAAAAAAUAAACCAAACUAAAAAAAAAAAUAAUUUAAUAUCCAGAAAUACAAUAUAACCCUCGAUAUAAAAAAAUGUGAAUAUAAUAUAUCCUCCUAUACCUGGUAACCAUGUUGUCCCUCCUUCAGUACAUUAUUGUAGCUUUAGUACUGCCUGAUUGUAAUUAUGUGCAUAAAAACAACCUUAAUUAUUAAAAAAAAGGCCUGCUGGGUUUAUAUGUGUUUUAUAUGGAGUCCAGUUUUGGUGUCAGCUGACUAACAGCGAACUAACAGGCACUUUGAUUGAUUAGAAAGAGAAUGACAUGGCAAACAUAUAGAUAGGAGAAUUAGAGUGUGAUAAAACCCUUCCGAAUAUGAUUGUUUUCAAUUUACAGUUUUCAAAUAAGACUCUUGGUGUCUUUGCAUUUGUG